RNAcentral lists this transfer RNA (74 nucleotides) under Ixodes scapularis (black-legged tick). RNAcentral describes it as "tRNA-Ser for anticodon GGA". It matches the Rfam family "tRNA". Rfam says of the family: Transfer RNA (tRNA) molecules are approximately 80 nucleotides in length. Their secondary structure includes four short double-helical elements and three loops (D, anti-codon, and T loops). The record is from RNAcentral. Lineage: Eukaryota; Metazoa; Arthropoda; Arachnida; Ixodida; Ixodidae.
GCCGGGAUGGUCUAAUCGAUUCAGGCGUCGCCCCGGACAGGCGAAGGUUGCGGGUUCAAUCCCCGCUCCUGGCC